RNAcentral lists this non-coding RNA (21 nucleotides) under Caenorhabditis elegans. The record is from RNAcentral. Lineage: Eukaryota; Metazoa; Nematoda; Chromadorea; Rhabditida; Rhabditidae.
UAUUAUGGACUUUUUAACUUG